Molecule: long non-coding RNA, 896 nt
Organism: Brassica oleracea var. oleracea
Lineage: Eukaryota; Viridiplantae; Streptophyta; Magnoliopsida; Brassicales; Brassicaceae
Exons: 5
Source: RefSeq, a predicted model, not a curated record
UAUUCCUUAAUGUUAUGUAGAACCGCUGGUCUACGUCAAUUAUUGGACUCAUCUGGCGGAGCAGAGCAAGUUGCUCCAUCAGAUAAUCCCUUGGAUUUUAGUCUUCCCCAAGAUCCACCAGCCAGCACAACAGACACAAAGUCAAGAUCAGAUGUAAAGCUAAGCCAACUCGCCUCGAACAUCGAUUCAGAUUCCAGCAUUCAGAAAACAGAAACUCGGUUGCCUGAUCUUCUAGACAGCACGCUCUGUGACCGCAAGCUUGCCCCUUCCUCUAAGAGAAUUGUCUACGCAUUGGUCCGAGAGAAGGCUUACGAGAAUACUUUCUUGCCUCUGCUGAGUUGAAGGAAGGUUGAUUGUGUGGACCGGAGUGUGAGCCUAUAAAGACCAUCGGUGCUAGGAUGUAUGAACUUGGAUUUAAGCUCCAAGAGUUUAAAAAUCAAAUACACUCUCUUGGCUCCAACAAACGUGUGGGUGGAUAGAUUGCUGUGAAUGGGUUACUGUGGAUGAGUUGGCUUGCAGAUGGAUGGCUGUAGAUGGGUUUGUUUGGAUAGUUCAACUGUUUUCUUCUGAUGCCUAUUAUGGAUAAGUUACCUGCUCUUCUCCAGGAAGAGUUGGAGAAUGCAUUUGAAGAUGAUCUCGAUAGCAUUUUCGACAUCACGAACUCCUGCAAUCACUUGAUCAAAAGAAACGGAGAAAUGAGACUGAACUGAGAAGGAGGAUCAAAGAGAAAUUCAGAGUGAUGAAUGAGAAGCUGAACUCUCGCGAGUUUGCUCAGAAUCUAAACCCGCCUUCGUUGCAGUAGUGACUCAGGUCAUCACGAUAUCUCUCUUUCCAAUAUAUGUAUUUUAUUAGUUGUAGGUUAAGAAACAAUCUAAGAGUGUACUUCAUGAGGGAAC